UUUUAUUUUUUUUUUAUUGGUUCUAAGAUAAAAAUAAUGAUUAAUAGGGACAGUUGGGGGCAUUUGUAUUUAACAGUCAGAGGUGAUAUUCUUAGAUUUGUUAAAGACAAACUAAUGCGAAAGCAUUUGCCAAGGAUGUUUUCAUUAAUCAAGAACGAAAGUUAGGGGAUCGAAGACGAUCAGAUACCGUCGUAGUCUUAACCAUAAAC
RNAcentral lists this ribosomal RNA (209 nucleotides) under Cryptosporidium felis. RNAcentral's name for it is "partial small subunit ribosomal RNA". It matches the Rfam family "Eukaryotic small subunit ribosomal RNA", at positions 829 to 1037 of the family's 1831-position model. The record is from RNAcentral. Lineage: Eukaryota; Apicomplexa; Conoidasida; Eucoccidiorida; Cryptosporidiidae.